Molecule: ribosomal RNA, 253 nt
Filed under: uncultured bacterium
Lineage: Bacteria
Description: partial 16S ribosomal RNA
Rfam family: Bacterial small subunit ribosomal RNA
Source: RNAcentral
UACGUAGGGGGCAAGCGUUGUCCGGAUUUAUUGGGCGUAAAGAGCGUGUAGGCGGCCAGACAGGUCUGAUGUGAAAACUCGAGGCUCAACCUCGAGACGCCGGUGGAAACCGUCUGGCUAGAGUCCGGAAGAGGAGAGUGGAAUUCCUGGUGUAGCGGUGAAAUGCGCAGAUAUCAGGAAGAACACCCGUGGCUAAGGCGGCUCUCUAGUACGGUACUGACGCUGAGACGCGAAAGCGUGGGGAGCGAACAGG